CAAUGCUGGCCCAAGAGUAGAUCUUUUGACUUCUUUUUGCAUUCAGCAACAGCUAACUCCCUGCUGAAGCCUGUUAUGUUGUUAAGCCUGCAAAUAUUUGAUGAAUCAAAGCAUAAUGAGAUAAUUUUUACUCCAAAUUAAGAAAAAAUAUGGAAGAGGUUGCACAAAUGCACUCUGCAGUUGGACAUGGGUUUGAGAAAGUCAAGUUCCUAGCUCUGGUGCAAGUUAAAAGAGACAAGAAAAAAAAAUGCUCCCCACUUCUUUUCUCUUUUCUCUAUUUGCCAGGGGGAGUAAUUCAGACAACACGUGCCUGAAGAGAGUGCUGGACUCCAGAUCAGCCCGAUGAGACUUGCAGAUGGUCAAAGCUGCCCUGGAAGUGCUCUUGGGGCAGUGCCAGGUCCCAGGCCGCACCUCUGACUCUCAGCCGCUUCUCCUUCCAUCCUUGGAAUGCAGUGCUGCUUCCUUGAGUACCAGACAAGAGGUCUCUUCAGGGCACAAAAGAGCUGCUGGAAUACCACUCAUCACAUUUGCAUUCCAAGAAAUCCUAGGAAACAGGAAUCCUGUACAUCUGUUCUUCCUUAUGAUUUUGAGCUUCGGUGAAUCUGCUGUUUCCUGGGAUUUUGAAACUGGGAGAGGUUGUUAAGAA
Ochotona princeps (American pika) is the source of this 646-nucleotide long non-coding RNA. RefSeq lists it as uncharacterized. NCBI's taxonomy places the organism in Eukaryota, Metazoa, Chordata, Mammalia, Lagomorpha, Ochotonidae. The record is from RefSeq and is a predicted model, not a curated record. The transcript is spliced from 3 exons.